Molecule: ribosomal RNA, 467 nt
Filed under: uncultured bacterium
Lineage: Bacteria
Description: partial 16S ribosomal RNA
Rfam family: Bacterial small subunit ribosomal RNA
Source: RNAcentral
GACGAACGCUGGCGGCGUGCUUAACACAUGCAAGUCGAACGGAAAGGCCUCUUUCGUGGGGUACUCGAGUGGCGAACGGGUGAGUAACACGCGCGUAACCUGCCCUUGUCUUUGGGAUAACUUCCUUCAACUGGGGCUAGUUCCGGCCAGGAGCUCCUGCUGCAUGGUGGGGGCUGGAAAGUUUCGGCGGUUUGGGAUGGCCUCGAGGCUUAUCCGCUUGGUGGUGGGGUAGUGGUUUACCAAGGCGUUGACGGGUAGCCGGCCUGUGAGGGUGAUCGGCGACAUUGGGACUGAGGUACGGCCCAGACUCCGACGGGAGGCAGCAGUGGGGAAGAUUGCACAAUGGGUGGAAGCCUGAUGCAGCAACGCCGUGUGCGGGAUGACGGCCUUAGGGUUGUAGACCGAUUUCGCUCAUGACGAAGCAUUGUGUGACGGUAGUGGGUAAAGAAGCACCGGCUAACUACGUG